RNAcentral lists this ribosomal RNA (583 nucleotides) under Amblypharyngodon mola (mola carplet). Its description in RNAcentral is "partial small subunit ribosomal RNA". It matches the Rfam family "Bacterial large subunit ribosomal RNA", at positions 1838 to 2620 of the family's 2925-position model. The record is from RNAcentral. Lineage: Eukaryota; Metazoa; Chordata; Actinopteri; Cypriniformes; Danionidae.
AGUGUUUAAGGAAGGUCCAGCCUGCCCAGUGACUACUAGUUUAACGGCCGCGGUAUUCUGACCGUGCAAAGGUAGCGCAAUCACUUGUCCUUUAAAUAAGGACCUGUAUGAAUGGCUAAACGAGGGCUUAGCUGUCUCCCUUUUCCAGUCAGUGAAAUUGAUCUAUCCGUGCAGAAGCGGGUAUGAAAAUACAAGACGAGAAGACCCUUUGGAGCUUAAGGUACAAGACUCACCCACGUUAAACAAGCCUUUAAAGCAGCAAACCUAGUGAGAGAUGAGACCUUACCUUCGGUUGGGGCGACCACGGAGGAAAACCCAGCCUCCAAGUGGAUUGGAUAAUAUCCAAAACCAAGACACACACUUCUAAGUAACAGAACAUCUGACCAAAAAUGACCCGGCCACAAAAGCCGAUUAACGAACCAAGUUACCCAAGGGAUAACAGCGCAAUCCUCUUCCAGAGUUCAUAUCGACGAGGGGGUUUACGACCUCGAUGUUGGAUCAGGACAUCCUAAUGGUGCAGCCGCUAUUAAGGGUUCGUUUGUUCAACGAUUAAAGUCCUACGUGAUCUGAGUUCCAGACCGGA